Molecule: ribosomal RNA, 371 nt
Filed under: uncultured Glomeromycotina
Lineage: Eukaryota; Fungi; Glomeromycota
Description: LSU rRNA
Source: RNAcentral
UUGAAAGGGAAACGAUUGAAGUCAGUCGUGCCUGCGGACAAUCAGCCUUUCGGGUGCGAUUAUGUGGAGCGUGGGGAGCUAAACACCUUCAUGCCUGCGUAUUUGUAUUCUGGGGUGUACUUGGACGUGCGGUAGGUUAACAUCAAUUUCGGACGUCAUAAAAUGGCUGGAGGAAUGUAGCUUCGGUCUCGUACUGAAGUGUUAUAGCCUUCGGCAGAUAUGGUGACCGGGAUUGAGGAUUGCAACGGAUACCUUUUGGGCUACCCGCCUGAUCUCUGAAAGUUGCUCUGGUGUCGAAAGCUUGCUUACGGUUAUCAAAGUUGACGUUCAAAAGGUUAGAACGGGUUAAAUUCGUUAAGGAUGUUGACGUA